Molecule: ribosomal RNA, 500 nt
Filed under: uncultured bacterium
Lineage: Bacteria
Description: partial 16S ribosomal RNA
Rfam family: Bacterial small subunit ribosomal RNA
Source: RNAcentral
AUUGAACGCUGGCGGCAUGCUUUACACAUGCAAGUCGAACGGUAACAGGGUGCUUGCACCGCUGACGAGUGGCGAACGGGUGAGUAAUGCGUCGGAACGUGCCGAGUAGUGGGGGAUAACGCAGCGAAAGUUGUGCUAAUACCGCAUACGUACUGAGGGAGAAAGUGGGGGACCUUCGGGCCUCACGCUAUUCGAGCGGCCGACGUCUGAUUAGCUAGUAGGUGAGGUAAAGGCUCACCUAGGCGACGAUCAGUAGCGGGUCUGAGAGGAUGAUCCGCCACACUGGGACUGAGACACGGCCCAGACUCCUACGGGAGGCAGCAGUGGGGAAUUUUGGACAAUGGGCGAAAGCCUGAUCCAGCCAUGCCGCGUGUCUGAAGAAGGCCUUCGGGCUGUAAAGGACUUUUGUCAGGGAGGAAAUCCCUAGUGCUAAUAACACUGGGGGAUGACAGUACCUGAAGAAUAAGCACCGGCUAACUACGUGCCAGCAGCCGCGGUAA